This 325-nucleotide long non-coding RNA is filed under the name Rattus norvegicus (Norway rat). Its description in RNAcentral is "long non-coding RNA NONRATT031739". Lineage: Eukaryota; Metazoa; Chordata; Mammalia; Rodentia; Muridae. The record is from RNAcentral.
GUGACGUCAAGAUAGAGCUUUCACUGGGAAGCAAACCCAUGCUACAUGAAGCUCUUCAUAUAAGUAAACCAGACGAAAGGCUACUGUGUUAUGACAAAUUUGCUACCUUCUAUAACCGAGCAACGUGUUGAAUCUUGGGGAAUACUACAAAAUAUGGAUCAACAUGGGCCCUUCUCCACUUGACGCACACUAAGCCACUGCUGUGAACUUUGAGUUUGAUCUCAGCUCUCUCAAAAGUCACUAAUCAUUCCUUCAACAAAAAACACAACAAGCACUCGGACAUCACACUGCACAGAUGUAAUUUGGAAUAGGAGGAGGUCAUACU